GUACUCGCUUUGGCAGUACAUAUACUAAAAUUAGAACGGUACAGAGAAGAUUAGCAUGGCCCCUGCGCAAGGAUCACACCCUUUUAACUUCAGCGAAGUUUGUCUCU
Molecule: small nuclear RNA, 107 nt
Organism: Stegodyphus dumicola
Lineage: Eukaryota; Metazoa; Arthropoda; Arachnida; Araneae; Eresidae
Source: RefSeq, a predicted model, not a curated record